This 257-nucleotide long non-coding RNA is filed under the name Salvia miltiorrhiza (redroot sage). RNAcentral describes it as "long non-coding RNA (SMIL_LNC002009)". Lineage: Eukaryota; Viridiplantae; Streptophyta; Magnoliopsida; Lamiales; Lamiaceae. The record is from RNAcentral.
GGAUUUAUUUUGAGAUAUGGAUUAUUGAAGGUGUUAGUUUGUGUGAUGUUGGAAAUUUGAAGUUCAUGAAGUAAGUGAGGAUUGGGUAAGAAUAUGAGCUUAUGAGAUUGUAGGUAUCAUAGUUGAUGGAUUAAAAUGAUGAUUAGAGAUGAUUGAUAAAGAUUAUGAUGAAUUGGUUUGAUGGGAAAUAAGGCAUACUUGGCUAUAUGCUUAAGAUUGGCUAAUUGAUGAGUUAAUUGGCUAGCUUACAAAGCUAC